Molecule: small RNA, 125 nt
Filed under: Marmota monax (woodchuck)
Lineage: Eukaryota; Metazoa; Chordata; Mammalia; Rodentia; Sciuridae
Source: RNAcentral
GCCAGGUGCGGUGGUACAUGCCUGUAAUCCCAGCGGCUAGGGAGGCUGAGGCAGGAGGAUCACAAGUUCAAAGCCAGCCUCAGCAAAAGCAAGGUGCUAAGCAACUUAGUGAGACCCUGUCUCUA